AUUUGGAGAGCAAUCAUUAUUCCAAUAAGGAAAAGAACCCAAAGGAAAUUUUUCUUCCCCCUCCCCUAGCUUUCUUCUUCUCUUGCCCUUGCAAAGUCAUCUCUCAUUGUUGUUCUUCUUCUCCAUGCCGCACCAAGGGGCCGAGAAGGCGUGAGUGGCGUGGCAAGGAUGCCACAGGACUGCUGGUGAUGCGGUAAGAGGGUCGGCUGGCCUAAGCCAGGGGCUUGGGUUGGCUCGGGCCGGAAGGAUCGGCAUGCUGGGGCGCGAGGAGGCCGGCUUGGGUCGGGUCUUCAAGGCUGCUGAGCACGGGCCCUUGCAGGCGAGAGGAGCGAGGGAGAGAAGGAGAGGCCGGCUCGGGCCAGGCCUCCCGCUAGCAUGCUGGGCUGAGGGCCUUGGGAGGAAACUUUGUGAACUAAUUAAUUAUUUAGGGCUUAACUCAAUAGACACAUUAGGCACAAAGCUAAGCACUGGUCUAAAUUAUUUACUAGCGUAACAUUCAACCACUCAUGCACAACCCAAUGACUGUGUUUCAUCAUGUAACCACAAAAAUACUUUGAAAAUGCAGUUUUCUGUUUAGUAAUGAAA
Molecule: long non-coding RNA, 585 nt
Organism: Malus domestica (apple)
Lineage: Eukaryota; Viridiplantae; Streptophyta; Magnoliopsida; Rosales; Rosaceae
Source: RefSeq, a predicted model, not a curated record